Molecule: long non-coding RNA, 558 nt
Organism: Cervus elaphus (red deer)
Lineage: Eukaryota; Metazoa; Chordata; Mammalia; Artiodactyla; Cervidae
Exons: 3
Source: RefSeq, a predicted model, not a curated record
GCGCGGGCUCCGACGCGGGCUGUGGGACCCCGGCGGCGCGGAUCACCAGUCUUCUGCCCUCGCUUAGGUGACAAGUUGAGCACCUAAUCCAUGCCUGGUAUUGUGCUAGGCGCCUGUAGAACAGACAGGUGCCGGAGGGACCAGGGAGAUACAAUUCAGAUGACCUAACGUUGGCUCCUGCAGGUUCCUGCUCUUAAACACUGGUAGCCUCAGGCUCUUCACUGCACCUGCUCCCAGAGAAGUCCCAGAUGAGAAAAUGAUGGGCUCAAGCAGAAAUUUGCUCUCUUGGACAUUUAUUGAGGAAAUCUGAUGAUGGGGCAUGUGACAAGGAAAUCUAGAGGUAAAAGGUCAUGGAGAGAAGGGCGAUAAAGACCAAAUUGUACUAACACGGGAGGAGAGACUCAGUGCCCAGAAGGCCAGAAGAGAGGAAACAGGGCAGAGAGGGAUGCUGAGUCAUCACUCAUACCGAGUGGGCCCUAAGAGCUUCCCCAGGUCAAGCAGCUUUCCAGCACCUGUGCCGGAGCGUCUAACACUAAACUGACUUGUAUUUCGGUAAUA